CAGUAGCCGCGGGAACACGAAGGGGGCUAGCGUUGUUCGGAUUUACUGGGCGUAAAGGGUGCGUAGGCGGACUGAUAAGUCAGGGGUGAAAUCCCAAGGCUCAACCUUGGAACUGCCUUUGAUACUGUUAGUCUUGAGUUCGAGAGAGGUGAGUGGAACUGCGAGUGUAGAGGUGAAAUUCGUAGAUAUCGGAAGGAACACCUGUGGCGAAAGCGGCUCACUGGACCAUAACUGACGCUGAUGCACGAAAGCUAGGGGAGCAAACAGGAUUAGAUCCCCAGUAGUCCCUGUCUCUUAUACA
This 301-nucleotide ribosomal RNA is filed under the name uncultured bacterium. RNAcentral's name for it is "partial 16S ribosomal RNA". It matches the Rfam family "Bacterial small subunit ribosomal RNA", at positions 509 to 808 of the family's 1533-position model. The record is from RNAcentral.